CGGGAACUGGCUUCCAAUCGGUGUUUAGAUGGCAUUUGAAAUCUUUUCUAGCACCAUUCGAAAUCAGUACCCG
This 73-nucleotide microRNA precursor is filed under the name Anopheles sinensis. Its description in RNAcentral is "mir-29 microRNA precursor". It matches the Rfam family "mir-29 microRNA precursor family". Rfam says of the family: This family represents the microRNA (miRNA) precursors mir-29. Animal miRNAs are transcribed as ~70nt precursors and subsequently processed by the Dicer enzyme to give a ~22nt product. Lineage: Eukaryota; Metazoa; Arthropoda; Insecta; Diptera; Culicidae. The record is from Rfam by way of RNAcentral.